This 468-nucleotide ribosomal RNA is filed under the name uncultured bacterium. RNAcentral describes it as "partial 16S ribosomal RNA". It matches the Rfam family "Bacterial small subunit ribosomal RNA", at positions 28 to 507 of the family's 1533-position model. The record is from RNAcentral.
GACGAACGCUGGCGGCGUGCUUAACACAUGCAAGUCGAACGGAAGGGCCCUGAGUUUGUGCGGUGCUGGAGUGGCGAACGCGGGAGUGACACGUGUGUAACCCGCCCUUGUCUUUCGGGGAACUUCAGGAAACUGGGGCUAAUACAGUAUAGGAGACCCUGCACCGUGGGGGGGGGUGGAGAGUUGCGGCGGUUGGGGAUGGACGCGCGGCUUAUCAGCUUGUUGGUGGGGUAGGUGAUGACCAAGGCUGAGACGGAUAGGCGGCCUGAGAGGGUGACCGGCCACACUGGGACUGAGAGAGGGCCCAGACUCCUACGGGAGGCAGCAGUGGGGAAUAUUGCACAAUGGGCGGACGCCGGAGGCAGAAACGCCGCGUGCGGGAUGACGUCCUUCGGGUUGUAAACAGCUGUCGGCUGUGACGAAGCGAGAGUGACGGUACCUGGUGAAGAAGCACCGGCUAACUACGUG